UGGGGAAUUUUGCACAAUGGGGGAAACCCUGAUGCAGCGACGCCGCGUGAUUUAGAAGGCCUUCGGGUUGUAAAAAUCUUUUUUACGGGAGGAAAAUGACAGUACCGUAAGAAUAAGGUCCGGCUAAAUACGUGCCAGCAGCCGCGGUAAUACGUAUGGACCGAGCGUUGUCCGGCAUCAUUGGGCGGAAAGGGUACGUAGGCGGCCUAGUAAGUUAGAAGUGAAAUAAUAUAGCUCAACUAUAUAAAGCUUUUAAAACUGCUAGGCUUGAGAGAUGGAAGGGAAAGUGGAAUUCCUAGUGUAGCGGUGAAAUGCGCAGAUAUUAGGAAGAAUACCGGUGGCGAAGGCGACUUUCUGGUCAUCAUCUGACGCUGAGGUACGAAAGCGUGGGUAGCAAACAGG
This 402-nucleotide ribosomal RNA is filed under the name bacterium. Its description in RNAcentral is "partial 16S ribosomal RNA". It matches the Rfam family "Bacterial small subunit ribosomal RNA", at positions 355 to 776 of the family's 1533-position model. The record is from RNAcentral.